RNAcentral lists this ribosomal RNA (832 nucleotides) under uncultured bacterium. Its description in RNAcentral is "bacterial SSU rRNA". It matches the Rfam family "Bacterial small subunit ribosomal RNA", at positions 26 to 848 of the family's 1533-position model. The record is from RNAcentral.
AGGAUGAACGCUAGCUACAGGCUUAACACAUGCAAGUCGAGGGGAAACGACAUCGAAAGCUUGCUUUUGAUGGGCGUCGACCGGCGCACGGGUGAGUAACGCGUAUCCAACCUGCCCACCACUUGGGGAUAACCUUGCGAAAGUAAGACUAAUACCCAAUGACGUCUCUAGAAGACAUCUGAAGGAGAUUAAAGAUUUAUCGGUGAUGGAUGGGGAUGCGUCUGAUUAGCUUGUUGGCGGGGUAACGGCCCACCAAGGCUACGAUCAGUAGGGGUUCUGAGAGGAAGGUCCCCCACAUUGGAACUGAGACACGGUCCAAACUCCUACGGGAGGCAGCAGUGAGGAAUAUUGGUCAAUGGACGAGAGUCUGAACCAGCCAAGUAGCGUGCAGGAUGACGGCCCUAUGGGUUGUAAACUGCUUUUAUAAGGGAAUAAAGUGAGUCUCGUGAGACUUUUUGCAUGUACCUUAUGAAUAAGGACCGGCUAAUUCCGUGCCAGCAGCCGCGGUAAUACGGAAGGUCCGGGCGUUAUCCGGAUUUAUUGGGUUUAAAGGGAGCGUAGGCCGGAGAUUAAGCGUGUUGUGAAAUGUAGAUGCUCAACAUCUGAACUGCAGCGCGAACUGGUUUCCUUGAGUACGCACAAAGUGGGCGGAAUUCGUGGUGUAGCGGUGAAAUGCUUAGAUAUCACGAAGAACUCCGAUUGCGAAGGCAGCUCACUGGAGCGCAACUGACGCUGAAGCUCGAAAGUGCGGGUAUCGAACAGGAUUAGAUACCCUGGUAGUCCGCACGGUAAACGAUGGAUGCCCGCUGUUGGUCUGAAUAGGUCAGCGGCC